RNAcentral lists this transfer RNA (89 nucleotides) under soil metagenome. It matches the Rfam family "tRNA". From Rfam's summary of the family: Transfer RNA (tRNA) molecules are approximately 80 nucleotides in length. Their secondary structure includes four short double-helical elements and three loops (D, anti-codon, and T loops). The record is from RNAcentral.
GGGCCCGUAGCUCAGCACGGACAGUAGCGUCGGCCCUCUAUCGAGCCGAGGAAAGCCGAAGGUCGAGGGUUCAAAUCCCUCCGGGCCCG